UUUUAUGGUGGCCGUGCGCAGGGCGCCCUUGUGGCGCGCCGGUUUCCGAGUGCACCGGUCGACUAACCUGCGCAUGGCUGCCACCCAU
This 88-nucleotide non-coding RNA is filed under the name Pseudomonas psychrophila. Lineage: Bacteria; Pseudomonadati; Pseudomonadota; Gammaproteobacteria; Pseudomonadales; Pseudomonadaceae. The record is from RNAcentral.